This 460-nucleotide ribosomal RNA is filed under the name uncultured bacterium. RNAcentral's name for it is "partial 16S ribosomal RNA". It matches the Rfam family "Bacterial small subunit ribosomal RNA", at positions 338 to 795 of the family's 1533-position model. The record is from RNAcentral.
CCUACGGGGGUCAGCAGUGAGGAAUAUUGGUCAAUGGGCGCGAGCCUGAACCAGCCAAGUAGCGUGAAGGAUGACUGCCCUACGGGUUGUAAACUUCUUUUAUAAAGGAAUAAAGUGAGGCACGUGUGCCUUUUUGCAUGUACUUUAUGAAUAAGGAUCGGCUAACUCCGUGCCAGCAGCCGCGGUAAUACGGAGGAUCCGAGCGUUAUCCGGAUUUAUUGGGUUUAAAGGGAGCGUAGAUGGGUUGUUAAGUCAGUUGUGAAAGUUUGCGGCUCAACCAUAAAAUUGCAAUUGAUACUGGCAGCCUUGAGUGCGGUUGAGGUAGGCGGAAUUCGUGGUGUAGCGGUGAAAUGCUUAGAUAUCACGAAGAACUCCGAUUGCGAAGGCAGCUUACUAAACUGUCACUGACAUUGAUGCUCGAAAGUGUGGGUAUCAAACAGGAUUAGAUACCCGUGUAGUC